AGACAGAGGAUGCAAGCGUUAUCCGGAAUGAUUGGGCGUAAAGCGUCUGUAGGUGGCUUUGUAAGUUCGCCGUCAAAUCCCAGGGCUCAACCCUGGACAGGUGGUGAAAACUACUAAGCUAGAGUACGGUAGGGGCAGAGGGAAUUUCCGGUGGAGCGAUGAAAUGCGUAGAGAUCGGAAGGAACACCAAUGGCGAAAGCCCUCUGGUGGGCCGACACUGACACUGAGAGCCGAAAGCUAGGGGAGCGAAUGGGAUGAGAGACUCCAGUAGUCCUAGCCGUAAACGAUGGAUACUAGGCGGCUGUGCGUAUCGACCCGUGCAAUGCUGUAGCUAACGCGUUAAGUAUCCCGCCUGGGGAGUACGUUCGCAAGAAUGAAACUCAAAGGAAUUGACGGGG
Molecule: ribosomal RNA, 398 nt
Filed under: uncultured bacterium
Lineage: Bacteria
Description: partial 16S ribosomal RNA
Rfam family: Bacterial small subunit ribosomal RNA
Source: RNAcentral